ACGGAGGGUGCAAGCGUUAAUCGGAAUUACUGGGCGUAAAGCGCACGCAGGCGGUUUAUUAAGUCAGAUGUGAAAUCCCCGGGCUCAACCUGGGAACUGCAUCUGAUACUGGCAAGCUUGAGUUUGGUAGAGGGGGGCAGAAUUCCAGGUGUAGCGGUGAAAUGCGUAGAGAUCAGGAGGAAUACCGAUGGCGAAGGCGGCCCCCUGGACCAACACUGACGCUCAGGUGCGAAAGCGUAGGGAUCAAACAG
This 251-nucleotide ribosomal RNA is filed under the name uncultured prokaryote. RNAcentral's name for it is "partial 16S rRNA". It matches the Rfam family "Bacterial small subunit ribosomal RNA", at positions 525 to 775 of the family's 1533-position model. The record is from RNAcentral.